RNAcentral lists this ribosomal RNA (460 nucleotides) under uncultured bacterium. RNAcentral describes it as "partial 16S ribosomal RNA". It matches the Rfam family "Bacterial small subunit ribosomal RNA", at positions 338 to 795 of the family's 1533-position model. The record is from RNAcentral.
CCUACGGGUGGCAGCAGUGAGGAAUAUUGGUCAAUGGACGAGAGUCUGAACCAGCCAAGUAGCGUGAAUGAUGACUGCCCUAUGGGUUUUAAACUUCGUUUAUAUGGGAAUAAAAUGUUCCACGUGUGUGAUUUUGUAUUUACCAUAUGAAUAAGGAUCGGCUAACUCCGUUCCAGCAGCCGCGGUAAUACGGAGGAUCCGAGCGUUAUCCGGAUUUAUUGGGUUGAAAGGGAGCGUAGGUGGAUUGUUAAGUUAGUUGUGAAAGUUUGCGGCUCAACCGUAAAAUUGCAGUUGAAACUGGCAGUCUUGAGUACAGUAGAGGUGGGCGGAAUUCGUGGUGUAGCGGUGAAAUGCUUAGAUAUCACGAAGAACUCCGAUUGCGAAGGCAGCUCACUGGACUGCAACUGACACUGAGGCUCGAAAGUGUGGGUAUCGAACAGGAGUAGAUACCCUAGUAGUC